RNAcentral lists this ribosomal RNA (484 nucleotides) under uncultured bacterium. RNAcentral describes it as "partial 16S ribosomal RNA". It matches the Rfam family "Bacterial small subunit ribosomal RNA", at positions 29 to 507 of the family's 1533-position model. The record is from RNAcentral.
AUUGAACGCUGGCGGCAUGCUUUACACAUGCAAGUCGAACGGCAGCGCGGGCUUCGGCCUGGCGGCGAGUGGCGAGCGGGUGAGUAAUACAUCGGAACGUGCCCAGUAGUGGGGGAUAGCUCGGCGAAAGCCGGAUUAAUACCGCAUACGACCUGAGGGUGAAAGCGGGGGAUCUUCGGACCUCGCGCUAUUGGAGCGGCCGAUGGCAGAUUAGCUAGUUGGUGGGGUAAAGGCCUACCAAGGCGACGAUCUGUAGCUGGUCUGAGAGGACGACCAGCCACACUGGGACUGAGACACGGCCCAGACUCCUACGGGAGGCAGCAGUGGGGAAUUUUGGACAAAGGGCGAAAGCCUGAUCCAGCAAUGCCGCGUGUGUGAUGAAGGCCUUCGGGUUGUAAAGCACUUUUGGCGGGAACGAAAAGGACUGUGCCAAUACCACGGUUCGAUGACGGUACCCGCAGAAUAAGCACCGGCUAACUACGUG